GGAGAUUAUAGCUCAGUAGUAGAGCAUUCGACUGCUAAUCGAGAAGUCCCCGGUAUAAACCAAGGUGUCUCCU
Non-coding RNA from Trichonephila clavipes, 73 nucleotides. The record is from the annotation of a GenBank genome assembly. NCBI's taxonomy places the organism in Eukaryota, Metazoa, Arthropoda, Arachnida, Araneae, Nephilidae.